Lytechinus variegatus (green sea urchin) is the source of this 2267-nucleotide long non-coding RNA. RefSeq lists it as uncharacterized. The record is from RefSeq and is a predicted model, not a curated record. The transcript has 2 exons. Lineage: Eukaryota; Metazoa; Echinodermata; Echinoidea; Temnopleuroida; Toxopneustidae.
UCAUUCAAUGUUUUUUUUAUAAUAAGAAAAAAAACUAUGGACUACUAAACCGCACAUCCGGGUUUUUUUAUUAUUGUUCCUGCUCGAAAUGAUAUAGAGCGAUCAAAAGACGGCGUUUGUAAUUUGCAUUCGACCCUUAACGCCCCCGCAAUCCCCCUCUGCGUGUGGUCUUUAGCGUCACUAGGGAAUUAACGCACUAUAGAAAACCGGUGGAUGAAAGGCUGAUCGGAUUUAAUCCCGUGCCUAGAAAGACAGUAUUGAAGAUUAUUGAUACUGAAAAGCACUGAUUUUUAUACCGAGACUUAAACCUCGGUACAAAUGGUAAAAAAAAAUUGACAAGCAAAAAAAAGUCUUCACAUAGGAGAGGGGUCACUUAUGGCUCGUCAGGGAUCACUUUGGACUCGUCAGGGGGGGGCAGGGAUACGUCACUUGCAUGUGUUGUGACUCGUCAGGGGGGCAGUCUGCCCCCCCCCCUUAUUAGGUACGCUAAUGGUGCUGAUCGUUGACUUUGGCCGGUUUAUUAGGUCCGGUAAGAGGUAAAGGGUUGGAUCAAUUUUUUUAAACGUCUCAGAUUAAUUGAAAAUCGUUCGAGACAGAAAUUAUUUCAAAAUUGUUUUGAUUUGGAAAUUAUAUUGAAAUAAUUUAAUUUCCUUUGAGAAUAAACACUCUCCUAAAAAGAAGUACAAUUCACGUAUCUUUUCAAUUAAGUCAGAAAUAUAAGUCCUAAAUACAUUAGAUAAAUGGUCUCAACUCUCAGAUCACAGCUCAUGAUCGAUCGGAACGUAUUUCAAAAUUGUUUUGAGGUGGAAAUUAUAUAGAAUUUAUUUCAGAUACCAUAAGCUCUUUUUCCUGAAAUAAAUAUUAUUCGCUUAUCUUUCCAAUAAAAGGGAAAUACGUUGGAAUAAAAGUACUCAACAUCUUAGUCUUAGAUUAAUGCACGAUCGUUCGAGACGUAUUUUUGAAAUUGUUUUGAAGUGGAAAUUAUAUAUCAUGAAAUCAAUUAAAACCUUCCAAUGUAAACUUUUAUUCUCCUGGAAGAAAUACAAUCGCGUAUUUUUCCAAAAAAAGUCCAAAAGAAGCAGAUUGCGUUUCCAAUAAUUUUCUAGAAUCAAGAGUGCCUACAAUAUCAAAAAUUCGGCAUAAGUUAAACAAAAAACCCAACAUAAAUAUACCCAAACAAUUUAUACGAUGUCAGAAACAAAAUCGAAAUGUCAAAAAAUCAAAACAAAAAUAUCAUAAAAGGAAGUAUUUCAAACCAACAUAAAAAGUAAGGCAGUAUGUCUAACAAAAGAAAAAGAAGUAGACAUUUUGUUGAUUUGCGAUUUAGCGUGUUUAAUGAUAUGGCGUCAUUAUCAUUCUCCAAAAUUUAGUUUGCCGUUGAUAUCAAUGUUCGCACUAAUUUAGUUACAUUCGGGCAUCAUAUUCAUAUUGUGUCAUUUUAUCUGGCCUCUGUCAGAAAAAAUAAAUGUUCUAAAAAUAUUAAUCUUCCCGUGGCAAAGAUGAAUAGGCCUACCCCUCUAGUUAUACACUCUUGGCGGACAUUAUCCGGCGAGUUGGAUGAUAUAGGCCUAUUCAUACCAAGAUGUCUCAAACUAUGGCCUUAAUAGAGGUAAAAAAAACUAUGCAUGGGUACCAUUCGUGCAACUGCUCGAUCAUUAAUAUUCUUUUUAAACGAACGGUUUGUCUUGCGCUUCUUGAUUUUCAUGCUCGGGAAUUAAUAUUUUUGUCAGUGCCAAGAAGCAACGUUGACGUUCGGAUAAAACGGGAUAAAAUAGGCGUGUAAUCCAUCUGUAUCCGGUCCCAAAAUCAUACGUUAAAAAAAGGUCAUUAAUUCAACUUAUUUUUCAUGUGUGAAUCUUCCGUGUCAAUCUCAACUCGAAAGCUGCAACAUUUUCGAAAUCGGCAGUAUUUCUAUUGAUGGCGUUAAUUUUCAGUUCAGUUCGUUGACAACGGAAACUAUUGAGAACCAUCGACUUAUCGAGAUCGAGAAUUUUUGUCAUAUUCAUAAUUAUGCGCACGUGUUGAUAUAUUCUAUCACUAGCUAGCUGUAGUCAUUUCCAAUAGAGCGUGCUUGCAUGAAAUGCUUCGAUACGGACAUAAAAGAGGAACGCCUUUCAUUAUCAUGCUUUUAAAUAUAAUAAUUUGAAGUCGAGUAGCACGACAAGUGGAACUAGUACAGGCACCACGACGUACAUGUUUACUCUUCAUUCCGGGUCUUCAUUCCAGAGCGAGUCGCGGAAUUGAAGGCUAGCCGUGGCCGGCGCGGG